This 377-nucleotide ribosomal RNA is filed under the name uncultured bacterium. Its description in RNAcentral is "bacterial SSU rRNA". It matches the Rfam family "Bacterial small subunit ribosomal RNA", at positions 521 to 896 of the family's 1533-position model. The record is from RNAcentral.
UAAGACAGAGGUGCCAAGCGUUAGGCGGAAUCACUGGGCUUAAAGCGUGUGUAGGCGGACCCGUAAGUACCUUGUGAAAUCCCACGGCUCAACCGUGGAACUGCUCGGUAUACUGCGGGUCUUGAGCUGCUUAGGGGUCGUCGGAACAAACGGUGGAGCGGUGAAAUGCGUAGAUAUCGUUUGGAACGCCAACGGUGAAAACAGACGACUGGGAGCACGCUGACGCUGAGACACGAAAGCCAGGGGAGCGAACGGGAUUAGAUACCCCGGUAGUCCUGGCCCUAAACGAUGUCGACUAGGUCGUGGCGCCUCUGACGGCGUCGCGGCCGAAGCAAAAGUGCUAAGUCGACCGCCUGGGAAGUACGGUCGCAAGGCUA